UUAUUUUGUUAUAAUAAGACUACAUUUGUUACAUAUAAUAGUUUGUAAAAAGGUCAGACAACCCAGAGGCCGAAGCCCUAGAGUCAUCUUACAGUGCACAGGUGUUAUGGAUGUGAAGGGUGCGAGGGGCUUGCCGAAGCAGAGACACCCAAGCGUUUGUAUUCACUAAUGAUCCUUCCGCAGGUUCACCUACGGAAA
This 198-nucleotide unclassified non-coding RNA is filed under the name uncultured fungus. Its description in RNAcentral is "sequence contains ITS1". Lineage: Eukaryota; Fungi. The record is from RNAcentral.